This 455-nucleotide ribosomal RNA is filed under the name uncultured bacterium. Its description in RNAcentral is "SSU rRNA". It matches the Rfam family "Bacterial small subunit ribosomal RNA", at positions 26 to 518 of the family's 1533-position model. The record is from RNAcentral.
AGGAUAAACGCUGGCGGCGUGCCUAACACAUGCAAGUCGAACGUCCUACGCAAGUAGGGAGUGGCGGACGGGUGAGUAACACGUGGGCAAUCUACCUUUCGGUGAGGAAUACCGGCGAGAAAUCGCCGACAAUACCGCAUACGCUUCGCAAGAAGCAAAGUCGCAAGACGCCGGAGGAGGAGCCUGCGCCCGAUUAGCUGGUUGGUGAGGUAACAGCUCACCAAGGCGUCGAUCGGUAGCUGGUCUGAGAGGAUGAUCAGCCACACUGGGAUUGAGAACGGCCCAGACUCCUACGGGGGGCAGCAGUGAGGAAUUUUCGUCAAUGGGGGAAACCCUGAACGAGCAACGCCGCGUGCAGGAUGACGCUUCUCGGAGUGUAAACUGCUUUUCGUCGGGGAAGAGAACGGACGGUACCCGAGGAAUCACGCCCCGGCUAACUACGUGCCAGCAGCCGC